Molecule: ribosomal RNA, 239 nt
Filed under: uncultured bacterium
Lineage: Bacteria
Description: partial 16S ribosomal RNA
Rfam family: Bacterial small subunit ribosomal RNA
Source: RNAcentral
GAUCCUGGCUCAGGGUGAACGCUAGCUACAGGCUUAACACAUGCAAGUCGAGGGGCAGCAUGGUCUUGGCUUGCUAAGGCCGAUGGCGACCGGCGCACGGGUGAGUAACGCGUAUCCAACCUGCCUUACACUCUUGGACAGCCUUCUGAAAGGGAGAUUAAUACAAGAUGUUAUCAUGGGUAAGCAUUUUCGCAUGAUUAAAGGUUUACCGGUGUAAGAUGGGGAUGCGUUCCAUUAGA